RNAcentral lists this long non-coding RNA (623 nucleotides) under Mus pahari (shrew mouse). RNAcentral describes it as "RIKEN cDNA A730090N16 gene (MGP_PahariEiJ_G0003461.1)". Lineage: Eukaryota; Metazoa; Chordata; Mammalia; Rodentia; Muridae. The record is from RNAcentral.
AGGCGGCAGAACGGGAACCAUGAGAGAGGCUACCUUAAGGGCGUGGCCAGGAGAGGGGCAAUGAGCAGGAUGGAAAGUGAAAAAGGAAAAACUCUGAGUGAGGAGCUGAGGCUGAGCAGGGACAGUAACCUGCCUGAGUGCCACUGUGGCCAAAGCCUGGAUCUGAAGCUGUCUGUCCUGCCCUGUCUUCUUUGCUGAAGUAGUGCUCCAGUGAGGAGACCCAUCCCCGACUGUGGAGGGAACCUGACUUCCCCCCAGGGCUGACUUCUCUUCUUUUGGCUUCAGUUACUACUGUUCUGUAAGACUGAAUUCAAAAGGACUCACAGAUUCUUAUCUAAGAGACUGCUUUAAGUCUCAGUAGAUACUUGGGAGUUUGGACUUUUAAACAGAAGUGGGACAGUUACGACUUGGAGGAUCCUUGAAGCUUGGCUAAAGGCUUUUUGCAUUGUAAGAUAUGAAUGUCUUGGGAGACGAAUAGAAUCUAAAAUAUUUCCCACGGGCUUGUAUUUUAAACACUUGUGGCCGACUGGCAGCAAUACUUGGGAAGGAUGUGGAACCUUUCAGAAACUGAGCCUGUCUGUCAGAAGUCACUAGGGGCAGGACUUCACUGGGCGCAUGUCUUA